UACGGAGGGUGCAAGCGUUGUCCGGAAUCAUUGGGUGUAAAGGGUGCGUAGGCGGGCGCUUAAGUCUGGGGUGAAAUCUUGCCGCUUAACGGUAAAAUUGCCCUGGAUACUGGGCGUCUUGAGUGUAGAAGAGGCAGGUGGAAUUCGUAGUGUAGCGGUGAAAUGCUUAGAUAUUACGAAGAACAUCAGUGGCGAAGGCGGCCUGCUGGUCUACAACUGACGCUGAGGCACGAAAGCGUGGGGAGCGAAC
Molecule: ribosomal RNA, 250 nt
Filed under: uncultured bacterium
Lineage: Bacteria
Description: partial 16S ribosomal RNA
Rfam family: Bacterial small subunit ribosomal RNA
Source: RNAcentral